GAUGAAGAACGCAGCGAAAUGCGGUAAGUAAUGUGAAUUGCAGAAUUCAGUGAAUCAUCGAAUCUUUGAACGCACAUUGCGCCCCUUGGUAUUCCGAGGGGCAUGCCUGUUCGAGCGUCAUUAUAACCCCUCAAGCUCAGCUUGGUGUUGGGGCCUGCUGCACUGGCAGCCCUUAAAAUCAGUGGCGGCGCCAUCUGGCUCUAAGCGUAGUAAUUCUUCUCGCUAUGGAGUCCUGGUGGAUGCUUGCCAUCAACCCCCAAUUUUUCUAUGGUUGACCUCGGAUCAGGUAGGGAUACCCGCUGAACUUAAGCAUAUCAAUAAGCGGAGGA
This 329-nucleotide unclassified non-coding RNA is filed under the name soil metagenome. RNAcentral's name for it is "partial contains 5.8S ribosomal RNA, internal transcribed spacer 2, and large subunit ribosomal RNA". The stretch from base 1 to 120 matches the Rfam family "5.8S ribosomal RNA", at positions 35 to 154 of the family's 154-position model. The record is from RNAcentral.